This 29-nucleotide non-coding RNA is filed under the name Mus musculus (house mouse). Lineage: Eukaryota; Metazoa; Chordata; Mammalia; Rodentia; Muridae. The record is from RNAcentral.
UGGGACACAAAAAAGUAAAAGGGGGAAAC